Molecule: ribosomal RNA, 253 nt
Filed under: uncultured bacterium
Lineage: Bacteria
Description: partial 16S ribosomal RNA
Rfam family: Bacterial small subunit ribosomal RNA
Source: RNAcentral
GACGAGGGAUCCUAGCGUUGUUCGGAAUCAUUGGGCGUAAAGCGUGUGUAGGCUGCCAUUCAAGUCAGUUGUGAAAGCCCCGGGCUCAACCCGGGAAGUGCUUCUGAUACUGUUUGGCUUGAGUACUAGAGAGGAUAGUAGAAUUCCAGGUGUAGUGGUGAAAUACGUAGAUAUCUGGAGGAAUACCGGUGGCGAAGGCGGCUAUCUGGCUAUGUACUGACGCUGAGACACGAAAGCGUGGGGAGCAAACAGG